Molecule: ribosomal RNA, 431 nt
Filed under: Boulengerula niedeni
Lineage: Eukaryota; Metazoa; Chordata; Amphibia; Gymnophiona; Herpelidae
Description: LSU rRNA
Rfam family: Bacterial large subunit ribosomal RNA
Source: RNAcentral
AACGGCCGCGGUAUCCUGACCGUGCAAAGGUAGCAUAAUAACUUGUCAUUUAAAUCAUGACUAGAAUGAAUGGCAAAACGAAAACUUAACUGUCUCCCUUAUUUAAUCAAUAAAACUGAUCUUCUUGUACAAAAGCAAGAAUAAAAAUAUAAGACGAGAAGACCCUAUGGAGCUUUAAAUAAAUUAUUAUCUGUAAUAACAAUUACAGCCCUAAUUAAUUAUUUUAGGUUGGGGCGACCACGGAGCACAAAAAACCUCCGAGAAAGCAACUUAGAAAACACACCAAAGUAAUAAAACAUUUUAAAUAAUUGACCCAAUAAAAUUGAUCAACGAACCAAGUUACCCUAGGGAUAACAGCGCAAUCUUCUCUAAGAGUCCAUAUCGACGAGAAGGCUUACGACCUCGAUGUUGGAUCAGGAUACCCAAACAGU